UACCAGCCCUUCGAGUGGUGUGGAUGUUUAUUGGGCCUAAAGCAUCCGUAGCUGGCUGGGCAAGUCCCCUGUUAAAUCCACCGAUUUAAUCGUUGGAGUGCGGGGGAUACUGUUCGGCUAGGGGACGGGAGAGGCAGACGGUAUUUUCGGGGUAGGGGUGAAAUCCUAUAAUCCCGGGAAGACCACCAGUGGCGAAGGCUGUCUGCUAGAACGCGCCCGACGGUGAGGGAUGAAAGCUGGGGGAGCGAACCGGAUUAGAUACCCGGGUAGUCCCAGCUGUAAACGAUGCAGGCUAGGUGUUUGGGCGGCCACGUGCCGCUCUAGUGCCGCAGGGAAGCCGUUAAGCCUGCCGCCUGGGGAGUACGGCCGCAAGGCUGAAACUUAAGGAAUUGGCGGGGGAGCACCACAAGGGGUGAAGCUUGCGGUUU
This 428-nucleotide ribosomal RNA is filed under the name uncultured archaeon. Its description in RNAcentral is "bacterial SSU rRNA". It matches the Rfam family "Archaeal small subunit ribosomal RNA", at positions 474 to 903 of the family's 1478-position model. The record is from RNAcentral.